AGAAGACUCCCUCUAAGGAUUGCUUUAUGGCCUAUAGUGAAGGGAGGGAUGUGGCACCUCAGAAAGGAGAUGUGGUAUCUAAUAAGAUUCAACAGGGGAGAGGGGAGUGUCCAUGAGAUCAUAAAUUCACAAACUUCAAGUCGGGUUUUGAAAUAGGUCCUGGUAACAUAGUUUUCAAAGUAUUCAUCCAAGAAAUAGUUCAGGGUGCAUAAGGGAGUCCACUCGUGUGGCAGAAUGUAUUUUCCAAAGAUGACCACACCAAUGUAUUUAUCCAGUUCCACAUGCUCGUCUUACAAUUUACCUGACAUUCCUUCUAAUAGGUGGGGGUCUCUGUUCCCUCCCUUUGAAUCUGCUCCAUUGGAGAAUCUAAAUGAUGCUCCAUAACUUCUGGGGCUAGGUCAUAAAACAUGAUACAGAUUAAGUCGGCCUUCCAUAAUGGGAUACUGCUCCCGUGCAGAGAGAAGUCCAGCAUCGCCCAUGAGGAAAGACCAUGUGGCACAGCUGAGAGGAAAGAAAAUAACUCCCUCUCCCCAGGCAACUGUCAGAACCAACCUCCAGACAUGGGAGUGAACUUAACUUCACAUGCCUCCAGCCCACAGCCUUUGAGUCUUCCUGCCAAGGCCCAGACAUCAUGGAGCAGAGAUAACAGAUACACACCAAGAACUCAUCAACAGGCUCUGAGAGAAGAUUGGGCACUACCAUGAUGGGUGUUUGUUGUUUAUGUAGUGACUGCAGGCUGAACAGGCAGCAGUGAAAUUGGUCCUUCAUGCAAUCACAGGUAAUAAAACUGUGGUACCUGAAAUUUCAACCACAUUUGUGGGGUACUGGUGUUAUCUGAUUUAACUAUAGUGAUUGAAAUUUCUGUGUACUAGAAACCUGCAAAGUGAGGAUUAUCUCUCUUUCUAUAAUAACAUCUGGUGGAAGGUGUUUUUUUGAUCUAAUAUUGUAAUGAAGAAUUGGUAAGGCCAAGAUCUCAGAUAGAAUAGAAAUCCAGAGAGUUUCACCUGACAUUUUGUAACUGCCUAUGCCUGAUAGCCACUUUGAAAUCUAGAGGAGGCUGAUGAGAGGCUGACCACCGCUUCUGGGAAAUGGACAAGCCUAAGGCAACAAAUGGUUGAGUCCAGAGCCCAUCGAGGAUGGAAUUUUGGUAAUCACCUUCCCAGGAAUUUGGACUGCGACCUGAACAGACACAUUUUAGGAAUACAGUUGAACCAGAAAUAAUUAAGCCCUCGCAAGGACUGCAAUCCAACUUUUUUUUUUUUAAAGAUUUUAUUUUUUCCUUUUUCUCCCCAAAGUCCCCCGGUACAUAGUUGUGUAUUCUUCGUUGUGGGUUCCUCUAGUUGUGGCAUGUGGGACGCUGCCUCAGCGUGGUCUGACGAGCAGUGCCAUGUCCGCGCCCAGGAUUCGAACCGACGAAACACUGGUCCGCCUGCAGCGGAGCGCGCGAACUCAACCACUCGGCCACGGGGCCAGCCCCU
Molecule: long non-coding RNA, 1478 nt
Filed under: Equus caballus (horse)
Lineage: Eukaryota; Metazoa; Chordata; Mammalia; Perissodactyla; Equidae
Description: lncRNA (ENSECAG00000056033.1)
Source: RNAcentral